This 184-nucleotide long non-coding RNA is filed under the name Callithrix jacchus (white-tufted-ear marmoset). RNAcentral describes it as "lncRNA (ENSCJAG00000083154.1)". The record is from RNAcentral. Lineage: Eukaryota; Metazoa; Chordata; Mammalia; Primates; Cebidae.
UGGCUGGGUCAUCAAAAGUUAUUUCUUGUUUCUACAGACGGUAACGCAGAAGGAAGGAAUUCUCACCUGACCCGGUUCUGAGCAAAGAAAACAAAAACUCCAGGAACAUCUGCUGAGAAGAAAAACACUUUUUGCAUACAAGCAGGAAAAUGAGAUGUUAUCCAGGACACUGAAAGAGAAUUGA